UUAACUCCUUCAGGGAAAACAUAAAAAUAGAAAAAGUUUAAUUUUUUCUUUCCUAUUUAUGCACUAAAAUUUUAUAUACAAAAAUUGGAUUAAUUUAAAGUAAUGAAUUAAAUUGAGUAUUUAAAAAAGUAAGAAUUAGUUUGUAAAUUGGAAAUAAAUAAAUUUGUGCCAGCAGCUGCGGUUAGACAGAAAUUUUUUAUAGAAAAAAGUAAAAAUUAAAAUUUGGUUAUUAUGAAAUUAAUUGAUAAAAUAUAAAAAUUAAAUUAAAAGAUAAAAUUUAAAAAUUAUAAAAAGGCUAGGAUUAGAUACCCUAUUAUAAAAAUUAAAAUAUUUGUGAGUAGUAAGAGAAAUCUUGAAACUUAAAAAUUUGGCGGUAAUUUGGUCUGGUCUAGAGGAAUUUGUUCUUUAAUUGAUAAUACACAAUUUAUCUUACCUUUUUAAAGUUUGUGUAUUACUGUCGUAAAAUAAUAUUAGGAAAUUAUAAUUUUUUAUUUAUUUGGUAUGACAAGUCAAGGUACAGCUUAUUAGAAGGAGUGAAAUGAAUUACAAUAAAAAUAGUUAAGUGAAUAAAAAAAUUAUAAUUUUUUUGAAGAUGGAUUUAGAUGUAAAUUUAAAGUAGAGUGAUUUUUUGAAUAAGGUCUAAAUUAUGCACAUAUCGCCCGUCGCUCUCUCUGAAAAGAGAGAUAAGUCGUAACAAAGUAGAUAUAUCGGAAGUUGUAUCUAGA
This 725-nucleotide ribosomal RNA is filed under the name Scutigerella causeyae. Its description in RNAcentral is "12S ribosomal RNA". Lineage: Eukaryota; Metazoa; Arthropoda; Symphyla; Scutigerellidae. The record is from RNAcentral.